RNAcentral lists this long non-coding RNA (333 nucleotides) under Ananas comosus (pineapple). Its description in RNAcentral is "long non-coding RNA (ACOM_LNC034271)". The record is from RNAcentral. Lineage: Eukaryota; Viridiplantae; Streptophyta; Magnoliopsida; Poales; Bromeliaceae.
AAAAAAAUUAUAAAGAAAAAAAAAGAAUAAUAAAAAAUAAAAAAAAUUAUUUUCUACAUGAAAGAUCAAAAAUUAGAAGGAAAAAGAAAAAAAUAAAAUUACACUGUUAAAAAAAGUUACACUAUUUUAAAAAAAAUUUGCACUAUUUUAAACAAAAGUUAUACUUUUUGAGACAGAAAUUAUACUUUUUAGAAUAAUAGUUAUACUUUUAGGCGAAAAUUAUACUAUUUGGGUAAAAUUUAUAUCAUUUCUUAUUUCUCUGUCUUUCUCUUUUUCCUUCUCCUCCGCUUUCUCGUUCUCCUCCUCCUUCCUCCUUCUCCUCCUUCCUCUUUA